RNAcentral lists this ribosomal RNA (20 nucleotides) under Ophiocordyceps sinensis. Its description in RNAcentral is "partial 18S ribosomal RNA". Lineage: Eukaryota; Fungi; Ascomycota; Sordariomycetes; Hypocreales; Ophiocordycipitaceae. The record is from RNAcentral.
GUCUCUCCUUACCCCCUACG